UCUAAUUUUUGCAAGAUUAGAAUAUGGCGAGAAGGGUAUCUGAGUCCGCGUCUCUCACUCCUCCGGUCUUCCCUUCUUUUGUCACGCGAAAAAGCAAAAGGGGUUAGAGACUUAGAGUGCAGAUGAGCAAGUGAACUGGGCAGUGUCACGUGAAGAGAGGGCGAGAGAAGCCUUAAAUCAUUAUAGAAACCAACAAAGAUGAAAGCAAGACGGACUUUGCUAGCUUACAGAAUCUGUAAGUUACAGACUGCACCAUCAUCCGUUGGAUGUGGAGUGAGAAAUUAAACAAUAAAAGAUUGGAUGGUGGGAUGGUGGGAGAUGUUAGUUACAGAAGCUGCACCAUAGACAGGUUCAAGAAAGACACGUGAAGCGGAUUUGGUCAUCAUGUAAUAAUGCGCCAACACCAAUGUACAGAUGCAGGUUACAUCAUACAGUGGCAUGGAUACCCUCUGACAUAUCUUUUCACUAUCAAUCUUAGUUAGUCUUAAGUUUCACUCCACACGCCGCUCGCCGCCGGCUAGGCCUGCCACAAGGCGCCUACCUACGGUUUAGGUUUUAGUUAGGGAUGGCUAUUAUUUGUUUGUUAAAAGAUAAUUUAUAUUUGGGAGUCCCUAUAUUAGAUUGGGGUAGUGUUUACUUUUUGGAUUGGAUUAAAAAUCUUACAGAGUAGGAAUCUUAGGAUUGGGAGUGUGGAGUGGAAGUGUGAGUAGGUUGUUUACUU
This 721-nucleotide long non-coding RNA is filed under the name Citrus maxima (pomelo). RNAcentral's name for it is "long non-coding RNA (CMAX_LNC001107)". The record is from RNAcentral. Lineage: Eukaryota; Viridiplantae; Streptophyta; Magnoliopsida; Sapindales; Rutaceae.